ACCGUAAUGCAGCCUACCACGGUAGCCAGUCCCAAGCCUGGGAAAAUGCAGAGGGCGGA
Molecule: non-coding RNA, 59 nt
Submitted as: unclassified sequences
Source: Rfam